This is a small nuclear RNA of Echinops telfairi (small Madagascar hedgehog), 106 nucleotides long. The record is from RefSeq and is a predicted model, not a curated record. NCBI's taxonomy places the organism in Eukaryota, Metazoa, Chordata, Mammalia, Afrosoricida, Tenrecidae.
GUGCUUGCUUCAGCCGUACAUAUGUAAAAUUGGAAUGAUACAGAGAAGAUUGGCAUGGCCCCUGUGCAAGGAUGACACACAAAUUCAUGAAGCGUUCCAUAUUUAA